AAGUCGUAACAAGGUUUCCGUAGGUGAACCUGCGGAAGGAUCAUUAAUAAUGAAGCCGGGCAACCGGUCCUUCUAACCCUUGAUUAUCUUAAUUUGUUGCUUUGGUGGGCCGCGCAAGCACCGGCUUAGGCUGGAUCGUGCCCGCCAGAGGACCCCAACUCUGUAUCAAAUAUUGUCUGAGUACUAUAAAAUAGUUAAAACUUUCAACAACGGAUCUCUUGGUUCUGGA
This 229-nucleotide unclassified non-coding RNA is filed under the name Spirosphaera carici-graminis. Its description in RNAcentral is "partial internal transcribed spacer region". The stretch from base 1 to 46 matches the Rfam family "Eukaryotic small subunit ribosomal RNA", at positions 1786 to 1831 of the family's 1831-position model. The record is from RNAcentral. Lineage: Eukaryota; Fungi; Ascomycota; Leotiomycetes; Helotiales.